RNAcentral lists this transfer RNA (68 nucleotides) under Marmota monax (woodchuck). RNAcentral's name for it is "tRNA.Undet". Lineage: Eukaryota; Metazoa; Chordata; Mammalia; Rodentia; Sciuridae. The record is from RNAcentral.
GGGGUUGUGGCUCAGUGGUAGAGCGCUCGCCUAGCAGUGAGGCCCUGGGUUAGAUCCUCAGCACCACA